RNAcentral lists this ribosomal RNA (1145 nucleotides) under Candidatus Phytoplasma solani. RNAcentral describes it as "bacterial SSU rRNA". It matches the Rfam family "Bacterial small subunit ribosomal RNA", at positions 201 to 1353 of the family's 1533-position model. Lineage: Bacteria; Bacillati; Mycoplasmatota; Mollicutes; Acholeplasmatales; Acholeplasmataceae. The record is from RNAcentral.
ACCUAGCAAUAGGUAUGCUUAGGGAAGAGCUUGCGUCACAUUAGUUAGUUGGUGGGGUAAUGGCCUACCAAGACGAUGAUGUGUAGCCGGGCUGAGAGGUCGAACGGCCACAUUGGGACUGAGACACGGCCCAAACUCCUACGGGAGGCAGCAGUAAGGAAUUUUCGGCAAUGGAGGAAACUCUGACCGAGCAAUGCCGCGUGAACGAUGAAGUAUUUCGGUACGUAAAGUUCUUUUAUUAGGGAAGAAAAGAUGGUGGAAAAACCAUUAUGACGGUACCUAAUGAAUAAGCCCCGGCUAACUAUGUGCCAGCAGCCGCGGUAAUACAUAGGGGGCAAGCGUUAUCCGGAAUUAUUGGGCGUAAAGGGUGCGUAGGCGGUUAAAUAAGUUUAUGGUCUAAGUGCAACGCUCAACGUUGUGAUGCUAUAAAAACUGUUUAGCUAGAGUUGGAUAGAGGCAAGUGGAAUUCCGUGUGUAGUGGUAAAAUGCGUAAAUAUACGGAGGAACACCAGAAGCGAAGGCGGCUUGCUGGGUCUUAACUGACGCUGAGGCACGAAAGCGUGGGGAGCAAACAGGAUUAGAUACCCUGGUAGUCCACGCCCUAAACGAUGAGUACUAAACGUUGGAUAAAACCAGUGUUGAAGUUAACACAUUAAGUACUCCGCCUGAGUAGUACGUACGCAAGUAUGAAACUUAAAGGAAUUGACGGGACUCCGCACAAGCGGUGGAUCAUGUUGUUUAAUUCGAAGGUACCCGAAAAACCUCACCAGGUCUUGACAUGCUUUUGCAAAGCUGUAGAAAUACAGUGGAGGUUAUCAGAAGCACAGGUGGUGCAUGGUUGUCGUCAGCUCGUGUCGUGAGAUGUUGGGUUAAGUCCCGCAACGAGCGCAACCCUUGUUGUUAAUUGCCAUCAUUAAGUUGGGGACUUUAGCAAGACUGCCAAUGAUAAAUUGGAGGAAGGUGGGGACGACGUCAAAUCAUCAUGCCCCUUAUGACCUGGGCUACAAACGUGAUACUAAUGGCUGUUACAAAGGGUAGCUAAAGCGUAAGCUUCUGGCGAAUCUCAAAAAAGCUAGUCUCAGUUCGGAUUGAAGUCUGCAACUCGACUUCAUGAAAGUUGGAAUCGCUAGUAAUCGCGAAUCAGC